This 1930-nucleotide long non-coding RNA is filed under the name Lactuca sativa (garden lettuce). RNAcentral's name for it is "long non-coding RNA (LSAT_LNC008363)". Lineage: Eukaryota; Viridiplantae; Streptophyta; Magnoliopsida; Asterales; Asteraceae. The record is from RNAcentral.
AACCGAGAAAACAAAAUAAAAAGGCAGAGAAAUAAAAGACGUCGUGACUUCGAACCUCUUCCUUGUACUCUCUAUUUUUGGUCAAUGAUAAUCUUCAUCUACCGAAGAAAUCGAUUUCUCCAUAGCUUCUGGUUCUGGAUUUCAAGCUUCAACAAAUAUCCGAUAUUACUUCUCGAUUUCUAGCUUCAACAAAUAUCGACGGCUUUGGUGUCGAUCUCCUUAUCCCCGAUUUCUUUGUGUUUCGAUUUUGCAAAACUAAUUCAAGUCAUAGGUAAUUAUUGGAUUUCUACUUUAAACGAUGUAUGAUUCUUAAUCAAUUUAUUAUUUUGAUUAUUUGGUUGAUUUAUAUAUAAAUAAAAUAAGAAUUUUAACAUCCCAUUUAACCUCUCAAAUUGAAAUUGUAAUAAAGUGAUUUGUGAAUGUAUUUUGAUCAGAAUCUAACCGUAAGGAACAUAUGAAUCUGCUAUUUAACUUUUUAGAUUUCCAAGUAUUAAUAUUGUGGAGAAAAUAAGGAUUAUUAUUGGUUUUUGUUUCAUUAUUUUGUAAAUUAUUUGUCGUUGCUUUGAAGUCAUAACCUCAUACGAUCUUGGAACAAGUUGAGUUUUUUCCCAGAUUGUUGUCAUUUGUAUUGGCUUCAUUAUAGGAUAAAAAAACAGAUUAAUUGGUUAAGAAUUGAUUCGCUCAUAGCCAUAAACAGGUGGUGCUAGAGGUGUUAGUUUUUGUUCAGCAUUUUGUAAAAUUUAGCCCAACUUUGAAAAGUCAUAAAUUCCUCAUACAACCUCAAAAUAUCUGACUUUUUUCCCCGAUUGUAGUCCUCUGUAUUGACUUUAUAUUAUGCUAAAAAACCAUGUUAACUGGGUAAGAAUUGAUUGACUUAUACAACCCUAAACAUGGGCUGUUAGAGUUGUUUUUUGUAUCAACAUUUUGUAAAAUUUUAGCCCAACUUUAAACAACCAUAAAUUUCUCAUACGAUCUCGGAACGAGCCGAUAUUUAUCUCAGAUUGUAGUCCUAUAUCUUGGCUUCAUUUUAUGAUUAAAAACAUCUUAAUUGGUUAAGAACUGACGAACUUACGUGGUCCUAAACAGGGUUUGUUAGAGCUAUUCGGUUUUUUGUGUUUUGUUUUUUUAUUUUUUUGGUGCAGAAGUUGAAGUUCUUAACUUAGACGGUGGGCAAAAUACGAGUAGAUUCGGUUGGGAUACAACUAAAUGAUGCGUUACUGCUAAUGCUGAAGUUAAGGCGAUUGAUAUAUUUAGCAAAUAUCAAUUCCACACCCGAUCAUUUUUUAAGAUGACGGAGUUGUUACGUGAAAAUAAUUGCGGAUGGCUCAAUAGCAUGAUUAGACUAUUUUAAGUUCUGCUUUUUUAGUUGUUACGAAUACUAAAUUUGACUUAUUGCACAUUCAUUUUUGGGCAUAAUUUUUAAGUAUUAUGAUUUUCAUAUUUCUUUAUGUCUAGAUCUAUUUGCAGCUUAUUUUUAUAUUAGAAAUAUGUUUCCAAUAGAUGAUGUAUAUAAAAUAAUAUUACCUGAUAAUAAAAUAAACUAAACAAAAUUGCAAAAAUAGUCCUUGUGAUAUGUAUUUUGGGGUUUUAGUCAAAACCAUGACUUUUUUGGAUCGUUGGUCUUUUUGAGCUAGUUUGGUUGCGUUUUUGGUCCCUCGGUAAACUAAAAUAACUGUAAUGCCUUCUGAUAUAUUUUCUUUUGUUUUUCUAUUUAAUUUAAUGUUUUAUUAAUUAAAAAUAUGUGACCCUCUCUCUCUCCACACACCAAAUAAAACCUUGCAGGUUGUUGAAUCACUUGGUCACAUAGUUUUUGGGUUAAUAAAGGUGGAGGUUGAAGGUGAUCAUGUACACAAAUUGAAGAACACAAAAUGAACCUGGAAAAAAUCUAUCAAAACCCACAUCCCCAUCUUCAAACCUCAGCCACCAGAAU